This 77-nucleotide transfer RNA is filed under the name Drechslerella dactyloides. RNAcentral's name for it is "tRNA-Tyr". It matches the Rfam family "tRNA". Rfam says of the family: Transfer RNA (tRNA) molecules are approximately 80 nucleotides in length. Their secondary structure includes four short double-helical elements and three loops (D, anti-codon, and T loops). Lineage: Eukaryota; Fungi; Ascomycota; Orbiliomycetes; Orbiliales; Orbiliaceae. The record is from RNAcentral.
CAUGUUUAAGCUUAAAGGUAGAGCAUAUUAAUAUAAGAAGCUAAUAUAAUUGUUGGUUCAAAUCCAUACAAACAUGU